GGGGAUGUCCCAAUUUGGUUAAGAUCAAGGUGAAGCAAUGCAGGGGAGUGAGCAGUGAAUUUGUGGAAUGUUUGCAGCAGCAAAAAGCCUCACUACUUGUUAAUAUUGAUGCUGCCAGUGACAAUGAAGGUUUAGAUGUUAGUUUGAGCGAUGGUGGAGGUCAAGAAAGUGGUUUAGAGUUUCCUGUGAUGGGUGGUCAAGUGGCUGUUGCUGAUGGUCC
This 220-nucleotide unclassified non-coding RNA is filed under the name Hevea brasiliensis (rubber tree). Lineage: Eukaryota; Viridiplantae; Streptophyta; Magnoliopsida; Malpighiales; Euphorbiaceae. The record is from RNAcentral.